Molecule: non-coding RNA, 21 nt
Filed under: Arabidopsis thaliana (thale cress)
Lineage: Eukaryota; Viridiplantae; Streptophyta; Magnoliopsida; Brassicales; Brassicaceae
Source: RNAcentral
UGCAUAUAGCCAUAUAGAGUC